This 806-nucleotide ribosomal RNA is filed under the name uncultured marine bacterium. RNAcentral's name for it is "bacterial SSU rRNA". It matches the Rfam family "Bacterial small subunit ribosomal RNA", at positions 35 to 890 of the family's 1533-position model. The record is from RNAcentral.
GCUGGCGGCAGGCCUAAUACAUGCAAGUCGAGCGCACCCUUCGGGGUGAGCGGCGGACGGGUGAGUAACGCGUGGGAAUAUGCCCUUCUCUAAGGAAUAGCCUCUGGAAACGGAGAGUAAUACCUUAUACGCCCUUUGGGGGAAAGAUUUAUCGGAGAAGGAUUAGCCCGCGUUAGAUUAGAUAGUUGGUGGGGUAAUGGCCUACCAAGUCUACGAUCUAUAGCUGGUUUGAGAGGAUGAUCAGCCACACUGGGACUGAGACACGGCCCAGACUCCUACGGGAGGCAGCAGUAGGGAAUCUUAGACAAUGGGGGCAACCCUGAUCUAGCCAUGCCGCGUGUGUGAUGAAGGCCCUAGGGUCGUAAAGCACUUUCGCCAGAGAUGAUAAUGACAGUAUCUGGUAAAGAAACCCCGGCUAACUCCGUGCCAGCAGCCGCGGUAAUACGGAGGGGGUUAGCGUUGUUCGGAAUUACUGGGCGUAAAGCGCACGUAGGCGGAUUAGUAAGUUAGAGGUGAAAUCCCAGGGCUCAACCCUGGAACUGCCUUUAAUACUGCUAGUCUUGAGUUCGAGAGAGGUAAGUGGAAUUCCGAGUGUAGAGGUGAAAUUCGUAGAUAUUCGGAGGAACACCAGUGGCGAAGCGGCUUACUGGCUCGAUACUGACGCUGAGGUGCGAAAGUGUGGGGAGCAAACAGGAUUAGAUACCCUGGUAGUCCACACCGUAAACGAUGAAUGCAGACGUCAGCAAGUAUACUUGUUGGUGGCACACCUAACGGAUUAAGCAUUCCGCCUGGGGAGUACGGUCGCA